GGCUUGAUUCGGCUGAUCUGGCUGGCUAGGAUGGUGUCCCCCUUCCUCCCUCACCACUCCGUGUGAAUCUCUCCCGAAGCUGUGAGCUCUUUGGAAUAGGACGACCUUCCCUGAAUAGAGGAGGACAGGUCUUAGGUCAAGGGUUAGAGUACCUGCUCUCCCCUGCUAGAACCUCCAAACAAGCUCAAGGUCCAUUUUGUCUUUCUUAUUCAUGAAGGUAAUUUUGUAUCCAGCUACUUUGCUGAAGGUUUUUAUGAGCUGAAGGUGUCCUCUG
RNAcentral lists this small nuclear RNA (274 nucleotides) under Meriones unguiculatus (Mongolian gerbil). RNAcentral's name for it is "7SK RNA (ENSMUGG00000009212.1)". It matches the Rfam family "7SK RNA", at positions 50 to 331 of the family's 331-position model. From Rfam's summary of the family: 7SK was discovered as an abundant small nuclear RNA in the mid-70s but a possible function has only recently been suggested. Lineage: Eukaryota; Metazoa; Chordata; Mammalia; Rodentia; Muridae. The record is from RNAcentral.